AAAUAAGUGCCUGAUUAUAAUAGGGUUAUCUUGAUAUGAUAAAAUAUGUUAAUAUUUAACCUUAUUUA
Molecule: transfer RNA, 68 nt
Filed under: Bactrothrips quadrituberculatus
Lineage: Eukaryota; Metazoa; Arthropoda; Insecta; Thysanoptera; Phlaeothripidae
Description: tRNA-Ile
Source: RNAcentral